Molecule: long non-coding RNA, 1131 nt
Organism: Nerophis ophidion (straightnose pipefish)
Lineage: Eukaryota; Metazoa; Chordata; Actinopteri; Syngnathiformes; Syngnathidae
Exons: 4
Source: RefSeq, a predicted model, not a curated record
UGGAGUAAGGUUGGAGUUUCAACACAAGAGCACUGGCAAAAGGGCUGCUUCAUACUGUGCUCUUCUUAGCUGGCCGUGCUGCUCUGUUUGUAUUCGCUGGGGGUCAGCAUGCACCUGUGUGUACGUGCGUGUUUGUGUGUGUGUGUGUGUGCGUGUACGUGUAUGCGUCUCAGUUCAACUGCUUGUUUACCAAUGCUGUCAUGUUAGCAGCUCGUGCAGCAGUCAGCAGGGGAGAGGCAGAAGUGGACCUGACAGACUGAACAUAACAAAGGAAUGUAUUUGGGAAGUUUCUGCCUCCAUCUUGAGUCGAAAGAAAUCUGAGGGCACAUACUUUCCUUGCAGCAGUCAAGCGCUGACAGUAAGCAGAGCGGUGUGACAAAAGAAUGUUCCCACUUGCAGAUGUAGCAGUAUAGGAGUUCAUUGGGCGGUAUGGAUAUAAGCGGGCUGGACAUUGAUGUCAUACAAGUGGCUGUGUGAACCUCUGCAGCGGCUAGACGGCAGCAUGUGUCCACACUGGCUUGUAGAUUUACAUCGAAGCGCUGGCCUGCACUGAAUCUCGAAGCGGGAGUCCAUCUGACACCAGAGGAUGUUUGAUCGUCUGUGUCCAGCCUGUGCCCUGUUGGUAUGUUGGCCAUUUGGAAUACUUUCCACUGUGCAGACUGGGCGACACAGAGGCUAAGAUAUUUUGUUUUUACUUUAAAUUUUAGACGAUAUAUUAAAGGCUAGAAAAACUGUACUAAUGCACAUCAUUUUUCUAUUUUGCUCUAUUUGAUACUAGUUAUUUUUUUUGUUGCCAGAAUGAGGAAUGUUUUUUACACCAAUAUAAUACUUUUUAUUUACAUUUUUUAUAUCACAUUUUUUAUUAAUGUAUGUUUUUUUGUAACAGCCCACAUUAAGAAAUUUGAAUCAUUUUAAAAUAUCGAUGCUCGUCAAAAACUCAAUGUCAUUUAAACAGUACUUCUUUUUUCAACUUGAUUAAUGUAUUUCACAUUUUCACAUGAUUACGAUUGGAAUUUCUCAUUUCUUUCACUGCAUUUAUGGCCACGUUUAGAAUUAUAUUUCCUUUUAGAAGCAAUCGCUGACCACAAACAAUAAAAAUCACAUUUUAAACAAAGCAGUCAUGAGCUUUAG